This is a long non-coding RNA of Alosa sapidissima (American shad), 1030 nucleotides long. RefSeq lists it as uncharacterized. The transcript has 3 exons. NCBI's taxonomy places the organism in Eukaryota, Metazoa, Chordata, Actinopteri, Clupeiformes, Clupeidae. The record is from RefSeq and is a predicted model, not a curated record.
CACCAGUGUGCUUUCCUGUGUUUAAUUUAUCUAUCUGAGCUCUGCGUUCAACUUACAUGUUUGUUGUUUUCAUUUAUUGUAGAAACCACACCAUGUGUGUGGUAAUAUUGAAAUAGGAGGGAUCAUUAGUGUCUAUAAAAGCUGUUGCCUGACUGCAGACAGAAACUUCUCCAGAUUCAUCUGAGAAUAUCAACACUGCAAGAGAAAACAUGAGGCCUGUCAUUGUGCUGUGCAUUGCUUUAAUGAUGGUUGCACUAUGUCAUGCUAAAUGUUAUAAAUUCUAUGAUAUCCAUGCAGCUUGUAACGGAAGAUGUAAGGAACGUUGUCGUCGACAUGAGUAUGUAGAUCUCACAUCAGACUGUGGUCAUGGAAGCCAAUGCUGCAUUGAUGCUGCUUCUGUCCGUGGUCCUCUAUAGAAGCCCAAAGAAUAGGUUUAUUCACCAUUACCUGUUAAUAAACUGUCAAAUAAGCAAUACACCUCAUAUGUUUUUGCAUUUGAUAAGUUUUAAGUAAUUUUUAUUUUAUUGGUUUAUUUGAUAGGGACCGCAUGCAUAUUUAUGAACAUUGUGUAAAAAACACCAUGCAUAUAUGCCCAGUUAGUAAAAAUAACUACUUUUCAUCUGCAGUCCCUAUGCAGGUGACAGGACAAACAUAGAGACAGCCAGCAGUCAUACAGCACUCAUACACUAUAAAUUAAACACAUAAUGGUGACAUACAUUGACAAAACAAACAAACAAAACAAACAGAAAUACAUGAUGACAAAGACAUUAUUCAUCCACCUCUAUACUGCAUUCAGUUUAACAGUUAGUGUAUGGGUGAUGACAUGUGUGGUAGUUAAAAGUAAGUGCAUCUCUGGUUCUCUAGGAGCCACUGUUUUAAGUGAGUUUUAAAAGUGUUGAAUGUAGGACACUCUUAUUGGGGCUAUUCCAGGGUUUACCUCACAUUACUGACAAUACGUUUUGUCUAUAGACCCUUUCAACAAUAAAAACAAAAACAAUGCUUGAACGUUCUAUUUGGUUCCCAAUCUACU